GAGUUGCAGGGGUCCAUGGUCUGGUUGAGGAUGCGGCCGACGCCGAAGUCGGCGAUCUUGACGCGGCGGCCGGAGUCGAUGAGGAGGUUGGAUGGCUUGAUGUCGCGGUGGACGAUGUGGCGGCGGUGGAGGUAGGCGAUCCCGGAGAGCACCUGGCGCGCGACGUCGGCGAGGAAGGCCUCGGAGGCGAUGCGGCGGCCCUCGAGGGAUCCCCCGCCCAUGUACU
This 226-nucleotide unclassified non-coding RNA is filed under the name Hevea brasiliensis (rubber tree). The record is from RNAcentral. Lineage: Eukaryota; Viridiplantae; Streptophyta; Magnoliopsida; Malpighiales; Euphorbiaceae.